This 36-nucleotide ribosomal RNA is filed under the name Chenopodium incanum. Lineage: Eukaryota; Viridiplantae; Streptophyta; Magnoliopsida; Caryophyllales; Amaranthaceae. The record is from RNAcentral.
GGUGACCUCCUGGGAAGUCCUCGUGUCGCACCCCUU